Molecule: ribosomal RNA, 108 nt
Filed under: Caerostris darwini
Lineage: Eukaryota; Metazoa; Arthropoda; Arachnida; Araneae; Araneidae
Source: RNAcentral
AACGGCCGUACCAUGGUGAAUAUACCGGUUCUCGUUAGAUCACCGAAGUGAAGCAUCAUUGGGCGCUCAGAACUUGGGUGGGUGACCACUUGGGAACAACGUGCCGUU